GCGGGUAUAGCUCAAUUGGCUAGAGCGUGGUCCUUCCAAGUCCAAUGUUGCGUGUUCGAGUCACGUUACCCGCU
RNAcentral lists this transfer RNA (74 nucleotides) under Eutreptia viridis. RNAcentral's name for it is "tRNA-Gly". It matches the Rfam family "tRNA". From Rfam's summary of the family: Transfer RNA (tRNA) molecules are approximately 80 nucleotides in length. Lineage: Eukaryota; Euglenozoa; Euglenophyceae; Eutreptiales; Eutreptiaceae. RNAcentral also lists the same sequence under 1 other name. The record is from RNAcentral.